UGGGUUAGGAGUAGGGUUGGAUUAGGAGUAGGGUUAGGAGUAGGUUUAGGGUUGUGUUAGGAGUAGGGUUGGGUUAGGGGUACCCUAACCCUACUCCUAACCCAAUCCCUACCCCUACCCCUAACCAUACCCUAACCCUACUCCUAGCCCAACCCUAACCCUACUCUAUCCCAACCCUACCCUUAACCCUACUCCUAACCCUACCCUACCCCUAACCCCA
Pelobates cultripes (western spadefoot toad) is the source of this 220-nucleotide non-coding RNA. NCBI's taxonomy places the organism in Eukaryota, Metazoa, Chordata, Amphibia, Anura, Pelobatidae. The record is from the annotation of a GenBank genome assembly.